This is a long non-coding RNA of Amphibalanus amphitrite, 257 nucleotides long. RefSeq lists it as uncharacterized. Lineage: Eukaryota; Metazoa; Arthropoda; Thecostraca; Balanomorpha; Balanidae. The record is from RefSeq and is a predicted model, not a curated record. The transcript is spliced from 3 exons.
AUUAUUGGUUAACGCACACAGCUUGUCACUUGGAACUUACAAAAAAAUGCUAUUUUUCUCAAGUUUUGUAUUUUCAUGGCAUGGAUCACUAAACUGAAGCCCACUGCCUGCUGAUAUUUGUAGUUCAAUUGCACAGCAUCUUGUCUGAGAAGAGCAUCAAUUCAAGAAAAUGAACUUUGAAGAUGAAGAUUUUGAUUUUGCUGAGGGUUUCCUGGACGAGGUCCUGCCUCCAAGUCGGAUGCCAUCUCACCCCUCCC